Molecule: ribosomal RNA, 504 nt
Filed under: uncultured bacterium
Lineage: Bacteria
Description: bacterial SSU rRNA
Rfam family: Bacterial small subunit ribosomal RNA
Source: RNAcentral
AGAGUUUGAUCAUGGCUCAGAAUCAACGCUGGCGGCGUGCCUAACACAUGCAAGUCGAACGAGAAAGCGGGGGCAACUCCGCGAGUACAGUGGCGAACGGGUGAGUAACACGUGACUAACCUGCCUUCGAGCGGGGGAUAACCCCGGGAAACCGGGGCUAAUACCGCAUAACAUCCCAGGAUGAAAUUCCCUGUGAUCAAAUGCGCAAGCAGCUUGAAGAGGGGGUCGCGCCUGAUUAGCUAGUUGGUGAGGUAACGGCUCACCAAGGCGAUGAUCAGUAGCCGGCCUGAGAGGGCGCACGGCCACACUGGAACUGAAACACGGUCCAGACUCCUACGGGAGGCAGCAGUGGGGAAUUUUGCGCAAUGGGGGAAACCCUGACGCAGCAACGCCGCGUGGAGGAUGAAGUCCCUUGGGACGUAAACUCCUUUCGACCGGGACGAAUAUUGACGGUACCGGUGGAAGAAGCCCCGGCUAACUUCGUGCCAGCCGCCGCGGUAAUAC